Molecule: long non-coding RNA, 223 nt
Filed under: Sus scrofa (pig)
Lineage: Eukaryota; Metazoa; Chordata; Mammalia; Artiodactyla; Suidae
Description: lncRNA (ENSSSCG00060048975.1)
Source: RNAcentral
GUAUAAACCUCUUCGGGCUCGUUUUGUUUGGGGCUCUCUGUGAUUCUGGGACCUGGUGUCUGUUUCCUUCCCCAGAGAAGCUAGAGAUGCAAGCACAGGCAUGACAUCCACUUUGCAGCAUCAUAAGUCAGGCUGCAGGCUCUGUUUUACUCCAGGAAAGAUAAACCGGCUUUGCUGUGAUUUUUGAGGGCCUGGCUAAUUGGGUCUUCACUGUCAGCCAGAU